GAAUUCGCCCUUAGAGUUUGAUCCUGGCUCAGGACGAACGCUGGCGGCGCGCCUAACACAUGCAAGUCGAACGGAGCUUAGAGAGCUUGCUUUUUAAGCUUAGUGGCGAACGGGUGAGUAACGCGUGAGUAACCUGCCCUAGAGUGGGGGACAACAGUUGGAAACGACUGCUAAUACCGCAUAAGCCCACGGUACCGCAUGGUACUGAGGGAAAAGGAUUUAUUCGCUUUAGGAUGGACUCGCGUCCAAUUAGCUAGUUGGUGAGGUAACGGCCCACCAAGGCGACGAUUGGUAGCCGGACUGAGAGGUUGAACGGCCACAUUGGGACUGAGACACGGCCCAGACUCCUACGGGAGGCAGCAGUGGGGGAUAUUGCACAAUGGGGGAAACCCUGAUGCAGCGACGCCGCGUGGAGGAAGAAGGUUUUCGGAUUGUAAACUCCUGUCGUUAGGGACGAUAAUGACGGUACCUAACAAGAAAGCACCGGCUAACUACGUGCCAGCAGCCGCGGUAAAACGUAGGGUGCAAGCGUUGUCCGGAAUUACUGGGUGUAAAGGGAGCGCAGGCGGGAAGACAAGUUGGAAGUGAAAACCAUGGGCUCAACCCAUGAAUUGCUUUCAAAACUGUUUUUCUUGAGUAGUGCAGAGGUAGAUGGAAUUCCCGGUGUAGCGGUGGAAUGCGUAGAUAUCGGGAGGAACACCAGUGGCGAAGGCGGUCUACUGGGCACCAACUGACGCUGAGGCUCGAAAGCAUGGGUAGCAAACAGGAUUAGAUACCCUGGUAGUCCAUGCCGUAAACGAUGAUUACUAGGUGUUGGGGGGAUUGACCCCCCUCAGUGCCGCAGUUAACACAAUAAGUAAUCCACCUGGGGAGUACGACCGCAAGGUUGAAACUCAAAGGAAUUGACGGGGGCCCGCACAAGCAGUGGAGUAUGUGGUUUAAUUCGAAGCAACGCGAAGAACCUUACCAGGUCUUGACAUCCGAUGCAUAGCACAGAGAUGUGUGAAAUCCUUCGGGACAUCGAGACAGGUGGUGCAUGGUUGUCGUCAGCCCGUGUCGUGAGAUGUUGGGUUAAGUCCCGCAACGAGCGCAACCCUUAUUGCCAGUUACUACGUUAAGAGGACUCUGGCGAGACUGCCGUUGACAAAACGGAGGAAGGUGGGGAUGACGUCAAAUCAUCAUGCCCUUUAUGACCUGGGCUACACACGUACUACAAUGGCGUUAAACAAAGAGAAGCAAGACCGCGAGGUGGAGCAAAACUCGAAAACAACGUCUCAGUUCAGAUUGCAGGCUGCAACUCGCCUGCAUGAAGUCGGAAUUGCUAGUAAUCGCGGAUCAGCAUGCCGCGGUGAAUACGUUCCCGGGCCUUGCACUCACCGCCCGUCA
RNAcentral lists this ribosomal RNA (1386 nucleotides) under uncultured bacterium. RNAcentral describes it as "bacterial SSU rRNA". It matches the Rfam family "Bacterial small subunit ribosomal RNA". The record is from RNAcentral.